CAUUACAGAGUUCAUGCCCUUCGGGGUAGAUCUCCCACCCGUGUUAUCAUACCAUUGUUGCUUUGGCGGGCCCGCCUCGGCCACCGGCUCCGGCUGGUGAGCGCCCGCCAGAGGACCCCAAACUCUGAAAUUUAGUGUCGUCUGAGUACUAUAUAAUAGUUAAAACUUUCAACAACGGAUCUCUUGGUUCUGGCAUCGAUGAAGAACGCAGCGAAAUGCGAUAAGUAAUGUGAAUUGCAGAAUUCAGUGAAUCAUCGAAUCUUUGAACGCACAUUGCGCCCCUUGGUAUUCCGGGGGGCAUGCCUGUUCGAGCGUCAUUACAACCCUCAAGCUCUGCUUGGUAUUGGGCGUCCCCGGCAACGGGGUGCCCUAAAAUCAGUGGCGGUGCCGUCUGGCUCUAAGCGUAGUAAAUCUCUCGCUCUGGACGCCCGGUGGAUGCUCGCCAGUAACCCCCAAUUUU
This 460-nucleotide unclassified non-coding RNA is filed under the name Neofabraea kienholzii. Its description in RNAcentral is "sequence contains 18S rRNA gene, ITS1, 5.8S rRNA gene and ITS2". The stretch from base 164 to 317 matches the Rfam family "5.8S ribosomal RNA". Lineage: Eukaryota; Fungi; Ascomycota; Leotiomycetes; Helotiales; Dermateaceae. The record is from RNAcentral.